RNAcentral lists this ribosomal RNA (253 nucleotides) under uncultured bacterium. Its description in RNAcentral is "partial 16S ribosomal RNA". It matches the Rfam family "Bacterial small subunit ribosomal RNA", at positions 524 to 776 of the family's 1533-position model. The record is from RNAcentral.
UACGUAGGGGGCUAGCGUUGUCCGGAAUCAUUGGGCGUAAAGAGCGCGUAGGCGGCCAGAUAAGUCCGGUGUGAAAGUCACAGGCUCAACCUGUGAAUGCCGCUGGAAACUGUCUGGCUAGAGUCCGGGAGGGGCGAGUGGAAUUCCUGGUGUAGCGGUGAAAUGCGCAGAUAUCAGGAGGAACACCAAUGGCGAAGGCAGCUCGCUGGAACGGUACUGACGCUGAGACGCGAAAGCGUGGGGAGCGAACAGG